UACGGAGGGGGCUAGCGUUGUUCGGAAUUACUGGGCGUAAAGCGCGUGUAGGCGGUCCGGUAAGUCCGCUGUGAAAGUCGAGGGCUCAACCCUCGAAUGCCGGUGGAUACUGUCGGGCUUGAGUACGGGAGAGGCGAGUGGAAUUCCUGGUGUAGCGGUGAAAUGCGCAGAUAUCAGGAGGAACACCGAUUGCGAAGGCAGCUCGCUGGAACGUUACUGACGCUGAGACGCGAAAGCGUGGGGAGCAAACAGG
RNAcentral lists this ribosomal RNA (253 nucleotides) under uncultured bacterium. Its description in RNAcentral is "partial 16S ribosomal RNA". It matches the Rfam family "Bacterial small subunit ribosomal RNA", at positions 524 to 776 of the family's 1533-position model. The record is from RNAcentral.